RNAcentral lists this transfer RNA (76 nucleotides) under Serratia marcescens. RNAcentral describes it as "tRNA-Lys(ctt)". It matches the Rfam family "tRNA". From Rfam's summary of the family: Transfer RNA (tRNA) molecules are approximately 80 nucleotides in length. Their secondary structure includes four short double-helical elements and three loops (D, anti-codon, and T loops). The record is from RNAcentral. Lineage: Bacteria; Pseudomonadati; Pseudomonadota; Gammaproteobacteria; Enterobacterales; Yersiniaceae.
GGGUCAUUAGCUCAGUUGGUAGAGCAGUUGACGCUUAAUCAAUGAGGCACAGGUUCGAACCCUGUACCACCCACCA